GCAAGGCGAGGGUUUGAUUUCGGUUGAGCCCGCCGUACGGGUGCGUAACGCGUAUGCAAUCUACCUUUAACAGGGGGAUAAUCCAUGGAAACGUGGUCUAAUACCCUAUGUGAUAUGAGACAGGCAUCUGUUUUAUAUUAAAGGAGCGAUCUGGUUAAAGAUGGGCAUGCGUCCGAUUAGCUGGUUGGUAGGGUAACGGCCUACCAAGGCGACGAUCGGUAGGGGAGCUGAGAGGUUUGUCCCCCACACGGACACUGAGACACGGGUCCGACUCCUACGGGAGGCAGCAGUAGGGAAUAUUGGGCAAUGGGUGGAAGCCUGACCCAGCCAUCCCGCGUGCCGGAAGAAUGCCCUCAGGGUUGUAAACGGCUUUUGACGGGGAAGAACGGUACCUUUGCGAAGGUAAUUGACGGUACCCGUUGAAUAAGCACCGGCUAACUCCGUGCCAGCAGCCGCGGUAAUACGGAGGGUGCGAGCGUUGUCCGGAUUUAUUGGGUUUAAAGGGUGCGUAGGCGGGAUUAUAAGUCAGUGGUGAAAGACUUACGCUCAACGUAAGCAGUGCCAUAGAAACUGUAGUUCUUGGAUAAGGAGGAGGUUGCCGGAACGGAUGGUGUAGCGGUGAAAUGCAUAGAUAUCAUCCAGAACGCCGAUUGCGAAGGCAGGUGACUGUACCUUAAUCGACGCUGAUGCACGAAAGCAUGGGUAGCGAACAGGAUUAGAUACCCUGGUA
Molecule: ribosomal RNA, 730 nt
Filed under: uncultured bacterium
Lineage: Bacteria
Description: bacterial SSU rRNA
Rfam family: Bacterial small subunit ribosomal RNA
Source: RNAcentral